AAAAACAAAAAAAAACACUAAAAACAAACUACAGCCUCCACCUCCCUCAAUAGUGAGUACAGAGUUAUCACUCCUCUCUCUGAAAUUAGAUUUAUAAUAUUUUAGUGACCUAGCCUAACCUUAACAUUUUACAGAUGAGUAAACACAUCUAGCACUUUUACCUGAUUUGUCCAAAGUUGCUCUUAUACAAUUUGUAUUCUGUGCAACUGAGAUGGGAUUUAUCUGCUAUUUUAUGUGGCCUUUUUAUGAAGGCCUUUUCAUGUUUCUCCUUCAGGUCGGAACUAAACCUCAGAGUUCUUCAAAACCCCAAUUACCUUUAUUGUCUUACAUAAGCUAGCUGCCCAAAUGUUUGCUGAGAAUAGUGAUAACCAUUGUCAUAUUGAGGUAGAGGAAGGGGGCUGGUUGGUGGGUACUGGUUUAGGGGUACUUUUUUAAGGAAGCAUGAGCACAUUUUGGAUAUGCAAAAUAUUAUUAAGUUUAGAGCUUAGAUUUGGAAAAACAACACUUAAGCGUCUGUGUAAGGAGAGCUCUGAGAAAAGGGUUUUCAGACAGAACCCAAAUUUCUCAAGAAGAACCCUCUAAACAGCAUUAAGGAAAAAAAUUCCUCUGUAGAAGCAACUAAGAAAAAAAGGAAUACUCAGUAUUUGGGAAAGAGAAAGGAAUGAAUGAUAACAACACCAGAUUGAGUAAGCUACACAAUAAAUCCAAAUUUCAGCCCUACCACAUCCAACCUAUGUUGCCUUGAGCAAAUUAUUAAACUUUUCUGUGCCUCAAUUUUCUCAUGUCUGCCUACUUAAGGACUGCGUGGGAAGAUUAAAUAAAAUGCAUGUAAAGCACUUAGGUCAGUACCUUACUCUUAAGGCACUCUUAAGGGUUUGAGAAGGAAGGGAGGGACGUUAAGUGGAAUGGUCCUUGGUACAUUUUUGUUCCGCGGCAGUAGGAUUCUGAAACAGAGGACAUAAUUACAAAGAAAGUUGGAGUAAGAAGUGGUGGUGCGGGCAUCACAUUUUCCUGCCACAGCCCCGGCUGGAACGGUCACUUACUGGAAACUGCAGAGAAACAACCUGUUUGGUCCGACUUGACAACCUCAACCGGACCGAAGGUGCUGAACAACCAGUGCGGCGAGCGCCGCGAAACCCAACG
This is a long non-coding RNA of Homo sapiens (human), 1143 nucleotides long. RefSeq lists it as uncharacterized. The transcript has 2 exons. NCBI's taxonomy places the organism in Eukaryota, Metazoa, Chordata, Mammalia, Primates, Hominidae. The record is from RefSeq and is a predicted model, not a curated record.